RNAcentral lists this ribosomal RNA (497 nucleotides) under uncultured bacterium. RNAcentral's name for it is "partial 16S ribosomal RNA". It matches the Rfam family "Bacterial small subunit ribosomal RNA", at positions 28 to 507 of the family's 1533-position model. The record is from RNAcentral.
GAUGAACGCUGGCGGCGUGCCUAAUACAUGCAAGUCGAGCGAACAGACGAGGAGCUUGCUCCUCUGACGUUAGCGGCGGACGGGUGAGUAACACGUGGAUAACCUACCUAUAAGACUGGGAUAACUUCGGGAAACCGGAGCUAAUACCGGAUAAUAUAUUGAACCGCAUGGUUCAGUAGUGAAAGACGGUUUUGCUGUCACUUAUAGAUGGAUCCGCGCCGCAUUAGCUAGUUGGUAAGGUAACGGCUUACCAAGGCAACGAUGCGUAGCCGACCUGAGAGGGUGAUCGGCCACACUGGAACUGAGACACGGGCCAGACUCCUACGGGAGGCAGCAGUAGGGAAUCUUCCGCAAUGGGCGAAAGCCUGACGGAGCAACGCCGCGUGAGUGAUGAAGGUCUUCGGAGCGUAAAACUCUGUUAUUAGGGAAGAACAAAUGUGUAAGUAACUAUGCACGUCUUGACGGUACCUAAUCAGAAAGCCACGGCUAACUACGUG